Molecule: non-coding RNA, 31 nt
Filed under: Rattus norvegicus (Norway rat)
Lineage: Eukaryota; Metazoa; Chordata; Mammalia; Rodentia; Muridae
Source: RNAcentral
UGCAGGUGAGCNAACGACCCGUUAUCAUUGC